This 466-nucleotide ribosomal RNA is filed under the name Penaeus japonicus. RNAcentral's name for it is "partial 16S ribosomal RNA". It matches the Rfam family "Bacterial large subunit ribosomal RNA", at positions 1856 to 2570 of the family's 2925-position model. The record is from RNAcentral. Lineage: Eukaryota; Metazoa; Arthropoda; Malacostraca; Decapoda; Penaeidae.
AGCCUGGCCACUGAUUUGUUUUAAAGGGCCGCGGUAUAUUGACCGUGCGAAGGUAGCAUAAUCAUUAGUCUUUUAAUUGAAGGCUUGUAUGAAUGGUUGGACAAAAAGUAAGCUGUCUCAGUUAUAAUAAUUGAAUUUAACUUUUAAGUGAAAAGGCUUAAAUGGAUUAAGGGGACGAUAAGACCCUAUAAAGCUUGACAAUAAGUUAGUUAUAUUAUAAAUUGUUAGUAUAACUUGAUUUUAAUUGACGUUUGUUACGUUGGGGCGACGAGAAUAUAAUGAGUAACUGUUCUUAAAUGUUUAUUGACAAAUAUAAUUGGUAUUUGAUUGAUCCUUUAUUAAAGAUUAAAAGAUUAAGUUACUUUAGGGAUAACAGCGUAAUCUUCUUUGAGAGUUCAUAUCGACAAGAAGGUUUGCGACCUCGAUGUUGAAUUAAGGUAUCCUUAUGAUGCAGCAGUUAUAAAGG